GAGCUACCACGCCGCCCGUUCCUGGAGCUUGAGAAGCUUCGGCCAUUUCCUCCACCACUUCCUCCUCCUCGCUGCGAUUCUACUAACUCAGGUACCAGAAAUAUAAUGGACAUGCACCAUCAGAACUGAUUGCCCUAAGAAAUCCUGUUCUGUGUUUUGUCAUUAAGGCACAGUAAACAUGGUACAAUCUCACUGGCAUUUGCUGAAAAAGCGUGGGCAUGAGAAUCUGCAGCGCGCUCCCCACUCCACAGUAAUUGACAGUGUACCCAAACUCUGCUAGAUACAGAUCCCAGUUCGUCCAGCCCGACCUGUGCGUCCAGAACGAUGGAUAUAGGACUCCACAUCCUUCAAAAUAAAU
Long non-coding RNA from Aquila chrysaetos chrysaetos, 358 nucleotides. RefSeq lists it as uncharacterized. Lineage: Eukaryota; Metazoa; Chordata; Aves; Accipitriformes; Accipitridae. The record is from RefSeq and is a predicted model, not a curated record. The transcript has 4 exons.